GAUGAAGAACGCAGUGAAAUGCGAUAAGUAGUGUGAAUUGCAGAAUUCAGUGAAUCAUCGAAUCUUUGAACGCACAUUGCGCCCCUUGGUAUUCCAUGGGGCAUGCCUGUUCGAGCGUCAUUUGUACCUUCAAGCUUUGCUUGGUGUUGGGUGUUUGUCCCUCGGGACUCGCCUUAAAGUCAUUGGCAGCCAGUGUUUUGGUUUUGAAGCGCAGCACAAGUCGCGAUUCAAGGCUAUCCGCCCGCUUCCACAAGCCUUUUUCACUUUUGACCUCGGAUCAGGUAGGGAUACCCGCUGAACUUAAGCAUAUCAAUAAGCGGAGGA
Molecule: unclassified non-coding RNA, 324 nt
Filed under: soil metagenome
Description: partial contains 5.8S ribosomal RNA, internal transcribed spacer 2, and large subunit ribosomal RNA
Rfam family: 5.8S ribosomal RNA (bases 1-120)
Source: RNAcentral